AUGCAUCUAUUUGACAGGCCCGGGGCAGUUACUGUCUGCCACUCAGGUUUCCACUACAGAUGCAGGAAGAAAGCAUCCUGUGCUUUCUGUCUGUCUGAUUGCGGCAGCCCAGACCGAAUGGGGGAAUACAAGG
Molecule: small nucleolar RNA, 133 nt
Filed under: Catagonus wagneri (Chacoan peccary)
Lineage: Eukaryota; Metazoa; Chordata; Mammalia; Artiodactyla; Tayassuidae
Description: Small nucleolar RNA SNORA31 (ENSCWAG00000020037.1)
Rfam family: Small nucleolar RNA SNORA31
About the family: ACA31 (SNORA31) belongs to the H/ACA class of snoRNAs which are thought to guide the sites of modification of uridines to pseudouridines. ACA31 is predicted to guide the pseudouridylation of U3713 in 28S rRNA and U218 in 18S rRNA.
Source: Rfam by way of RNAcentral